UGGUUGAUCCUGCCAGUAGUGUAUGCUUCUCCUAAAGACUAAGCCAUGCAUGCCUUCGAAUACGAGGAAGCAAUUCUCUCUGAAUCUGCGAACGGCUCCGCACACCAGUUGUAAACCAAAGCAAGCUAGCCCAUGACCUGACCCUCACGGGAUGGGACGUGGGCGAUACGGAUAACCCUGGUAAUUCUGAGGCUAAUACGAGACUACAAUCCCUGGCUAACCGCAAGGAAGGCCGGGGGGCGUGCAAAAGUUUCGCGAGGAAUAAUCAGGAGGGAGUGCACGCUCUGACCACGACAAAGACAGUUCCGGCAAAUCUUCGGAGGAGUUGGUUCUGAGUGGCUCUUGCGAGGUGCUUCUGACCUAUCAACUAGAUGGCAGCCUAAAGGACAUGCCAUGGUUACAACGGGUACAGAGGAUUAGGGUUCGAUCCUGGAGAGUGGGCCUGAGAGAUUGCUCAUACUUCUAAGGAAGGCAGCAGGCGCGCAACGUUCCCCUUGGACAAUGUCCGAGGGCGUUAGGGGACAUAUGAAUGGUUGCCUUAUAGGUGGCCAAUUCAAAUGGGUCUGUUCUAAACAGUCUCUCGAGUAACAAUUAGAGGACAAGUC
This 605-nucleotide ribosomal RNA is filed under the name Diderma globosum. RNAcentral's name for it is "SSU rRNA". It matches the Rfam family "Eukaryotic small subunit ribosomal RNA", at positions 5 to 561 of the family's 1831-position model. The record is from RNAcentral. Lineage: Eukaryota; Evosea; Eumycetozoa; Physariida; Didymiaceae.